Molecule: ribosomal RNA, 398 nt
Filed under: uncultured prokaryote
Description: partial 16S ribosomal RNA
Source: RNAcentral
CCCUACGGGGCGCACCAGUACACCGGUUUUUUCCCUUUAUAGACGCUUCCGUUCAGGAGGAGCUUUCCAAACUCCUCGACGGUCUGCCCUUCGUAAUCGUAAGCCAUGGUCAGAUACGGUUUGUCCCAUUCUCCGAAGACGCCCAGUCUUUUGAAUUGCGACCGCUGGAUGUCCACAUACCGCUCCGCAUAGGUCCGGCAGAAGCGCCGCACGUCGGCCUGAGACAUGGAAGCCUUCUUAUCGCCCAAUUCCUUGUCCACCUGAUGUUCGAUGGGCAGUCCGUGGCAGUCCCAACCGGGGACGUAUACGCAGUCCAACCCCAUCAUAUUCUUGGACUUGAUGACCAUAUCCGUGAUGAUUUUGUUCAGCGCCGUGCCUAAAUGAAUUGGCGGGAGGGC